GAUUUAACAUGCUCUGGUCUUAACACAAUGAUGUUUUCUAUUGUCAGUAUCAAGAAAAGUAUAAGUAGAUACAGCAAGUAAUGAAUCUAUUCUAAUCAAAUCUACUUUUUGUCUGCAGAGGGGCUGAAACCAGGUGAACCUUUUGAUUUCCAAACUUCAGACUUUGGUGUAAGCUAGUCAAAUGAGGAUGCAAAUUUCAGCACUGUGAAACCAACAGAAACAUAAAAGAACUCAAAGAAACGAACAUCUCUUGCACCAAGUCUACACUCUCAAAACCAAUCCAUGUCCUCUGUAACCACACAAUAAAGAGUUUGGGAAUUAUAUUUUAUGUUUUGAAGGCCCAUAUGCAAUACUUGGGAGCCUGAAGUCCAAGCCAGUUGUGGCAGUUGCAGAGUGCUUAUUCCAUAUUCAAAUGCUUUAUAAAGAAGGAAGAGACCCACCCACAAAAAUGGGGUCCUAAUUAGAAUAAGAUAUAUCCUAUGUUUGUAUAAUUUUAUCAAAAUGGAUUCUACUAUCAUGUAUAAGUAAGUAGAACUGAUAAAACAAAAUUUACAAAAAAAGAAGGAAGAGAAUGAGUCUGAUCUCUUGAAUAUUAUGCCUAAUAAAGGAAUAGAAAAUACUUUUGUUGCAGUCCUACACAAAGCAGAAGACUUACAGAUGGCAUGAAGAAGGUAAAAGUUUAUCCAUAUACUUUUUUAGUUUUUCUUAGCAGGUUUUAUGUUUCCAUUUCUCAAUAAUAUAAUUUCUUUCUACAAGAAUUAUAGAUUUUGGGGCUGGGGUUGUGGCUCAGUGGUAGAGCGCUGACCUAGCAUGUGUGAGGUACUGGGUUCGAUUCUCAGCACCACAUAUAAAUAAAUGAAUAAAAUAAAAGUCCAUCAACAUCUUUUUUUUUCAAAAAAAGGAUUAUAGAUUUUUCAUAAUUACAAAUAAAAUUUGGUUUGAGAACAUGAUGUAAUGUUCCUUUACUUUAACUUUAGAUACUGGUUAGGAGUUUCCAAACAAAACUUUUUAGCUCUAAAAAUAAUUAUCGUGUUUUAUAAAAUAAAAAUACAGAGAGAAGUUCCAGUGCAGCCUUUGUGUUGCUUCCGACACUUUUACAAAUACUUGGACUUUUUCCUCCUUUAGGUUUGGGGUGAAUGUGUAGCCAAUGAUAGUUACUUUUAAAAUAGACUCCUGUUAAAAGUGAAGGAUGGAAGAGAGGGCUAAGUUUCUUUUUUAAUUAGAAAUUGAGAUAUUAUUACCUUAUUAUUGAGGCAAACCAUUUAAAAAUCUUGACUCUCAUUCUUUGCUAGAUUUUAAUAUGUUAUACAUAUUAACAUAAUGUAGUAUUGUUACUGAUUAGAAUUCCUUAAAGGAGUUUUUUUUCCCCACUGAUAUUAACUUAAAGAAAAAUUGUAAUAAGGUUGUACAUGCUUAAUUAUAAAUUAAGCAUCUUUGGUUAUAGAGAUAAUUUGGCUAACAACUGAUAGACAUCAUUCCUUCCUAUAUUGUCUUGGGCAUCUAGUAUUUAUGUAUGAAAAAAGUUAUUUCUUUAUGUUUGAGGUGAUGACAUUUCUUAACUGUACCAGCAGAGAAAACAGUUUGUUCUUCAUUAUUGUAUUUACUGAAGAAAUAAAGGCAGGCUGGGGAUGUGGCUCAAGUGGAUAGCAUGCUUGCCUAGCAUGUGUGAGGCAUGGGGUUCAAUUCUCAGCACUACAUAAAAAUAAAAUAAAGAUAUUGUGUCUACUUAAAACUAAAAAAACUAAAAAAGAAA
RNAcentral lists this long non-coding RNA (1753 nucleotides) under Marmota monax (woodchuck). The stretch from base 776 to 844 matches the Rfam family "tRNA". The record is from RNAcentral. Lineage: Eukaryota; Metazoa; Chordata; Mammalia; Rodentia; Sciuridae.